This 336-nucleotide ribosomal RNA is filed under the name uncultured delta proteobacterium. RNAcentral describes it as "bacterial SSU rRNA". It matches the Rfam family "Bacterial small subunit ribosomal RNA", at positions 1044 to 1382 of the family's 1533-position model. The record is from RNAcentral. Lineage: Bacteria; Deltaproteobacteria.
CAUUGGCUGUCGUCAGCUCGUGUCGUGAGAUGUGGUUAAGUCCGCAACGAGCGCAACCCUCAUCCUUAGUUUGCCAUCAUUGAGUUGGGCACUCUAAGGAAACUGCCCCGGUUAACGGGGAGGAAGGUGGGGAUGACGUCAAGUCCUCAUGGCCUUUAUGUCCAGGGCUACACACGUGCUACAAUGGGCGGUACAAAGGGUUGCAAUACCGCGAGGUGGAGCUAAUCUCAAAAAGCCGCUCUCAGUUCAGAUUGGAGUCUGCAACUCGACUCCAUGAAGGCGGAAUCGCUAGUAAUCGCGGAUCAGCAUGCCGCGGUGAAUACGUUCCCGGGCCUU